Molecule: long non-coding RNA, 567 nt
Filed under: Struthio camelus australis
Lineage: Eukaryota; Metazoa; Chordata; Aves; Struthioniformes; Struthionidae
Description: lncRNA (ENSSCUG00000002206.1)
Source: RNAcentral
UCCUGUAGAACAGUCGUCCUUGUAUCUGGCCUUUGCCAGCUCAGAGAAGACAGCAAUUAAGCCCAAGUGAAAGAAUGGGCUUAUGGACACCUGGAUUUCUGUCUAACAUAGCAUCAAGAUGCAGCUGGAACAUAUAACCAGACCUAAAUGUUCCAGUCCUGUCUUACUAAAUUUGAUGCCUUGGUGACCUGGAUCAACAAGAAGCUUUAAGAUGGCUGCAUGGAUAUUCUUCUUGCAAAUCUUUUCUAAUGAUUUUAGUCAGAACCUGGAAUGUUACCUCCAGAUUAUGAAAACUGGCAAAAUUCAUAAUCUGGCAAAAGGGAAAACGUUCACAGAACUCUUGGCAAGAAACCAAAUCAAACUAUUCUUUUUAAUUACAGGUGAGUAAUAACACUCUUACAUUUCAUACAAAUAACGUCAGCACGCUCUUGGUCUGUGAUUGAUGGGAUGUUUUAAGUGGAGUGCUUUAAUUCAGCACAGCUGGAUGCCUCUUGUUGGGUUCCACUCCUAUACUCAGAAAUUUUUAUUUUUAGAGGUACUGGCAAUAACUUCCACUAUGAAGGCUGG